GUGGGGAAUAUUGGACAAUGGGCGAAAGCCUGAUCCAGCCAUGCCGCGUGUGUGAAGAAGGUCUUCGGAUUGUAAAGCACUUUAAGUUGGGAGGAAGGGCAGUAAGUUAAUACCUUGCUGUUUUGACGUUACCGACAGAAUAAGCACCGGCUAACUUCGUGCCAGCAGCCGCGGUAAUACGAAGGGUGCAAGCGUUAAUCGGAAUUACUGGGCGUAAAGCGCGCGUCGGUGGUUUUGUAAGUUGGAGGUGAAAUCCCCGGGCUCAACCUGGGAACUGCCUCCAAAACUGCAUGACUAGAGUACGGUAGAGGGUAGUGGAAUUUCCUGUGUAGCGGUGAAAUGCGUAGAUAUAGGAAGGAACACCAGUGGCGAAGGCGACUACCUGGACUGAUACUGACACUGAGGUGCGAAAGCGUGGGGAGCAAACAGGAUUAGAUACCCCUGUAGUCC
RNAcentral lists this ribosomal RNA (450 nucleotides) under uncultured bacterium. Its description in RNAcentral is "partial 16S ribosomal RNA". It matches the Rfam family "Bacterial small subunit ribosomal RNA", at positions 354 to 796 of the family's 1533-position model. The record is from RNAcentral.